GCUUUCUGAUCACAUGGGGGGUCGUGCCUUCCCGGUGGGUAUACGAGCCUAAACGGACGCGGUAAAUCGUGCUAAGGUAGCUAAAUUAUGGCCCAUUAAUUGUGGGUCCUGUGAAUGGUUUGACGAGUCCUCGACUGUCUCAAGGUUGUUUUGGUGAACUUGAAUUGAACGUGCAAAUGCUUUCAUGGGAGAGAAAGACGAGAAGACCCCGUGAAGUUAGAAAUUCCUAUUAUAGCGUCAAUCCGCAUUGACUAAUGUCAGCGUUGGGAUAUUUUAGGUGUUUUAAUAUUUUAUUAGUUUAGUGGUAUUGAAUAUUUUUGAUUUUUGAGUAGAGGAGUGUAAUUUUGAUGAGUUUUGGCUGGGGCAGCAAAGAGGCAAAACUAGACCUUUUUAGUCACGCUAACGGGUGCGUUACGACCCACAGAGGUAAAUAGUGUGAUUUGAAGAAGGAGUUACUCCGGGGAUAACAGCGUAAUCUUCCUUGAUAGUUCUUAUAGAUGGGCGGGUUUGCGACCUCGAUGUUGGCUCUUGGUAUCCUGAGGCUUGUAGGCGGUCUCGCGGGUUGGUUCGUGUCGCCCAUUAAAACCU
RNAcentral lists this ribosomal RNA (588 nucleotides) under Crassadoma gigantea. RNAcentral's name for it is "partial 16S ribosomal RNA". It matches the Rfam family "Bacterial large subunit ribosomal RNA", at positions 1832 to 2596 of the family's 2925-position model. Lineage: Eukaryota; Metazoa; Mollusca; Bivalvia; Pectinida; Pectinidae. The record is from RNAcentral.